This 253-nucleotide ribosomal RNA is filed under the name uncultured bacterium. RNAcentral's name for it is "partial 16S ribosomal RNA". It matches the Rfam family "Bacterial small subunit ribosomal RNA", at positions 524 to 776 of the family's 1533-position model. The record is from RNAcentral.
UACGAAGGGUGCAAGCGUUACUCGGAAUUACUGGGCGUAAAGCGUGCGUAGGUGGUUCGUUAAGUCUGAUGUGAAAGCCCUGGGCUCAACCUGGGAAUGGCAUUGGAUACUGGCGACCUAGAGUGCGGUAGAGGGUGGCGGAAUUCCUGGUGUAGCAGUGAAAUGCGUAGAUAUCGGGAGGAACAUCUGAGGUGAAGACGGGUUGCUGGGCUGACACUGACGCUGAGGCGCGAAAGCCAGGGGAGCAAACGGG